Molecule: long non-coding RNA, 4320 nt
Organism: Piliocolobus tephrosceles (Ugandan red Colobus)
Lineage: Eukaryota; Metazoa; Chordata; Mammalia; Primates; Cercopithecidae
Source: Ensembl
AUGUCCAAUAUAUAUUUUAUAUGUUAUUAUAUAUUAAUUAAUUAUGACUCUACAAAUGUUACAGCCACAAAUGUAUAUGACAAUGUUAAGGAUAAAAAAUGCAUCUCCUUACUUUUUAAUAUAUGCAAAAUUAUAAUUAAAUAUUAUUUUAUUUUAAAUAAAAAUUUAGUACUUAUGAGUUUUAUUUUUUUUUUAUCUUAUUUUUUUUAUGAUAACGAUGAUAAUUUUUUUGUUCAUAAUCAAUUCUUAUUUAAUGAUAAAAUAAUUACCUUCCUCGAUAAGAACUAUAUUACUAUAAAAGAAAUAACGGAAUUAAAAACAAUACUACAAAGUUUUUCACAUUAUACUUUGUGUAGCACAUUUUUUUAUGAUAAAAAGGAAGUUUUGAAUAACGCAGAAAAUCAAAAAAAUACGCAAAUAGUUCCAAAAUGUUUAAAAAAUUACAAAAAUAAAACAAAAAUUUUAAACUGUAUCAAACAUAGUGAUAAUAAAAAAAAAAAAAUAAACAAUUCACAAAAUAGCCAAAAUAGAGAGGACAACUCGGAACUUUUUUACCAUACAGACACUUUAAAAAACAAACAAAAAACAAUUCAAUCGAAUUCGUAUUUUCAAAACGAUUUAUAUUGUAUAUUUUACAAUUUUGUAAGAUUAUUAAAAAUAAAUAAUAAUAAUAAUAAUGAUAAACUAUGGUUUUAUAAUUGGACAAAUUAUUCAACUGAAUGUUUAAAUUAUUACAUUAAAAAUUAUUUUUUUAAAUAUAUGUAUAAUAUAUUUUUGUUUAAAAGACAAAAUAAUAUCUUUCUUCUUAAUUUUUUAAAAGGAUAUAUAUAUUAUAGUUUUAUUAACAAAAAAAUAAACUCAAACAAUAAUCGUAACAAUUUUUUUAUGUUAAAUUAUUUAUUGUAUUUAUAUGAAAUUACUGAUUAUGUUUGUAUACAUAACGAAGGAAUUUCAUUAUGUCAUGAUGACGGUAAUAUAUUAAAUGAAAAUAAUAAACUUUUUUGUUUAAAUUUUUUUAAAAAAAAAAAACAACAAUAUUUGGAUCAUUCUAUGGAUGAAUUAAAAAAUGAGCAAAAUUUUGUACAUUCUAAAAUUCGUAAUAUAAAAGAUGGAUUUAAAUUUCAAAAUGUUAGAUUAAUUAACGACAUCAGCAUUUUUUUUUUUCUCUUUACAAACAACGAAAAAGUACAAAAUUAUGUUGAUGAAGUUAUUUAUAAUAAAUGGCAUAGUAAUAAAAAGAGUAACAAGAAAAAAAGAAAAACUCAAAAAAUUAAUGGAUUAGUUUUAGAAAAUGAUAAAUCAUGUGAUGAAAACUAUACCACAAACUCCUCAAGUUCAUUUGUAUCUGCUCAUAAUAAUGAGAAUGAUAAAGAGGUGGCUAAAGGACACAAUGAAUGUGUCACAGUAGUGAUUGAAGAUACUACAAAUACCACACAUGCCACGAAUACCACACAUGCCACACACGCCACACANNNNNNNNNNGCCACACACGCCACACAUGCCACAAAUACCACAAAUACCACAAAUACCACGAAUAUCAAUACAGGUACAAAAUCAAGCGACAAUGCGACUAUCACUUCUAUAACUGGUCAUAAAAAAAAUAAAUACACAACACGUGAGAUCAACAAACUACUGCAGUGUUUACAUUUUAUUAACUAUUAUUUAGAUUCGGUUAUAAUUAUGUUAUGUAUAUAUAUUGAAAUUGAAAAAAAAAAAAAUCUGAGUAGCAAUAGUAAGACUAAUGAUGAACCUUAUUUAGCCGAACUAAAUAAAAAUCACUAUAAAGACAUAUUUAAAAAUAAUUUAAUACUAAACAUACUAAAUGAAUAUUCGAGUAUUUAUGAUAAUUAUUUUUGCUUAGCAAUAAAAAUAAAAUUUUUACAUAUAAAUAAAAUAUCUUUAAAAAAAAAUAUAAACAAAUUACUUUUAUUUUUACAUUAUAAUAAAUUAAAAAAAAAUAAAAUGAAAUUAAAAAAAAAUAAAAUGAAAUUAAAAAAAAGUAAAAUGAAAUUAAAAAAUGAAAACAGUACAAAAAAUACCUAUACAUAUUAUUAUUAUAUUUCUUUAUUACUAAUAUGUAUAAACAAAUGCUUUUGUGUAUCUUAUAUAUGUUUAUAUGAUGACAUUUUAGAAUUUUUUUUUUGUAAAAAUUUGAUUUUUUUUUUUUUUAAUAUGACUAGCUCUUCUGAAUAUACAAAAAAAAUGUCCGAAUAUACACUAAAAAAUGCGUACUACUAUAUAAACAAAAUCAAACAAAUGAAAAAGCAAAAUGAACAAAACACACAACAUAUUCGUUCUAGACAAAGUAGUUUUAAAAAACUAAUAAACAAUGAUAGUAUUAUUAAUUGUUACAAAAAAUAUAUAAUCAAAAUCAGUGAUGACAAUGAAAAACAUAUACCAUUGUCAUGUUUCACUCCUCUUUCGAACCAUACUAAUAGCAACAAUUUAAUAAAUGUGAUAAUAUAUACAUAUAAUAAAGUGAUAACAUCGUAUAUUUAUAAAAAUGUAAUAAACAUUGAUUCAACAACAAAGUUCUACAAUAUUCUUAACUUAACCAAAUUCUUAGUUAUGAAUAAUUAUCAAUAUAUAUACAUAUAUAAAGAUAUAUGCUUGAACCUUAUUAAAUAUAUGACGACUAUGAAUUUUUGUUACUUAAAUAAUAUAAUAAAAGCUGAAUUAUUAAUACAUAUAUUAAAUGUUUUUAAUUAUAUACUUUAUAUUAUUUAUAAAUAUAUCAGCCAAAAUAAAAUCAAAAUAUAUAAUGACGAACAGUAUACAAAUAAAAUAAAUAAUAUGUUGUUCCAAGGUUAUGAUUGUAUUAAUAUGCAAGAGUUACAAACAAGAGAAAGCAAAAAUUUUUAUAAAACUAAAAAAAAAUCACAAAAAAAAAAAAAAAGUGACUCACCUAACCAAACUACUGAAGUACAAAAUACACAAAAAAGUAUAUUACAAUAUAAUAAUAUAAAAAGACUAGAUAAUAACAUAAAAAAAAAAAAAAGCAAUACCAUUGUACAUAAGAACAAAGCUACAGUAAUAAAAAAAAAAUUAUGUUUAUACAAUUUUUUGCUAUUUAAGUUUUACUUUUAUGACCUUUUAAAUGAAGACUUUUUUAACAUAACAGAAUGUCAUAAAAAAAAAAAAAAAAUUUCAAACAAAAUAAAAAACCAUAUAAAACAUAUUAUCACUGAAUUGAAAGAAAAUAUAAACUAUAAGAACGUUGUUAAUGUAUUAGUAAAUGAUGAUUUUUAUUUUUUGCAAAAGGACAAUAAACAAAAAAGAAAUUGUGGCAAGAAUGGUCACAUCCAACAAGAACAAACAAAUUUAUUGAAUAAAAGUUCAUAUGAUGAUGUAAAUAAUAAUGAAUUAAAUGGGUAUUCGAUUGUUAGAUAUACCGCAUCACAUAUUUUUAACUAUGUGAAAAAACAUCUUUAUCAUAAUAAUAUACACGUACGGUUUGCAGCACACCUAUGCGUACUUCGCUGCUUUUUUAUCUUAUCAACAAAGCUGUAUGAAUUAUACCCCAAAAUUCAGCAAGUGUGGCCAUAUGUUAAGAUAAAUUUGUCAAAAAACGAUUACAUGAAUGACAUAGUACUACUCAAAAUAAUAAACUAUAUUACUACAUUAGAUGAUAAUUUUUCUAUACAAAGAAUUUCAAAUGACAUAGUACCCCAACUGCUUCUGAAGUUUAAAAAUUUCGAAUUAAGCAAUGAUAUGCCUAGACAUAGUUACGAACACAAAUUUGUACUGAGUGUUAUGCAGCUUUUUUUGGUCAUUUCCAGAAAAGAAAAAUACUUCGAAACAACACAUUCAUCCAUUUUUUAUUUUUGUUUCAAAUUUUUGAAUAAACAUGUUGAUAAGAACAUUAUCAAGUUGUCAUUAAACAUUAUUUGUAAUUUAUUUCUUUAUGACAUCCCAAAGGUUAUUUUAUACGCCUGUAUCAUAUUUCUUAAUUCAUAGUUUUUUUUUUUUUUUUUUUUUUUUUUUUUUUUUUUUUUUUUUUNNNNNNNNNNNNNNNNNNNNNNNNNNNNNNNNNNNNNNNNNNNNNNNNNNNNNNNNNNNNNNNNNNNNNNNNNNNNNNNNNNNNNNNNNNNNNNNNNNNNUUUUUUUUUUUUUUUUUUUUUUUUUUUUUUUUUUUUUUUUUACAAAUUUCUAAUGCCGUAUUUUACUAGUGUUCACAUAUACUUAUUAAUAUAUGAGCUAACAAAUAUGCACGCACGUAUUAUGUAUGUAUAUAUUUUUUUUUUUUUUUUUUUGCUAGUGAGCUAUACUUUGUACCUACGGCGAUAAGUAUAUUUUUUUUUUUUUUUUUUUUUAACAUAU